RNAcentral lists this ribosomal RNA (286 nucleotides) under Candidatus Bathyarchaeota archaeon. Its description in RNAcentral is "partial 16S ribosomal RNA". It matches the Rfam family "Archaeal small subunit ribosomal RNA", at positions 392 to 679 of the family's 1478-position model. The record is from RNAcentral. Lineage: Archaea; Thermoproteati; Candidatus Bathyarchaeota.
UCCGCUGAGGGCGGCUUUUCCCUGGUGUAAGGAGCCGGGGGAAUAAGGAGAGGGCAAGUCUGGUGUCAGCCGCCGCGGUAAUACCAGCUCUCCGAGUGGUAGGGAUGUUUAUUGGGCUUGAAGCGUCCGUAGCUGGCCUGACAAGUCUUCCGUUAAAUCUACCGAUUCAAUCGCUAGACCGCGGGGGAUACUGUUGGGCUAGGGGGCGGAAGAGGCCGACGGUAUUCUCGGGGUAGGGGUAAAAUCCUAUAAUCCCGGGAAGACCACCAGUGGCGAAGGCGGUCGG